Molecule: non-coding RNA, 105 nt
Submitted as: unclassified sequences
Source: Rfam
ACAGUACAAACUGAGCAGGCGAUGCCCGGAAGCGGGCGUGGGGCCGGGCCGCUUUAUCUGCGGCAGCAGAUUGCAUUUCCUUUUAUGCACAUCUGUGGGACAGUU